UUCUAGAGCUAAUACAUGCUGAAAACCCCGACUUCGGAAGGGGUGUAUUUAUUAGAUAAAAAACCAAUGCCCUCCGGGGCUCUCUGGUGAUUCAUGAUAACUUAACGAAUCGCAUGGCCUUGCGCCGGCGAUGGUUCAUUCAAAUUUCUGCCCUAUCAACUUUCGAUGGUAGGAUAGUGGCCUACCAUGGUUUCAACGGGUAACGGGGAAUUGUACGUACCGCCCCUCUUCCACUUUAUCUCCGUGGUGUUGUUGCUAACGUUGGAUACAGAGGGUUCUAUUCCGGAGAGGGAGCCUGAGAAACGUGGGUACCCUUUCCGUUAAGCGUUAUAUAAGCGAUCCGCUAACCCGUGUUCUAGGGCUACCACAUCCAAGGAAGGCAGCAGGCGCGCAAAUUACCCAAUCCCAAUUCGGGGAGGUACGUACUAGAAUUGGUCUUAUCAACGGUAUAUGCUAACGGUUUUUCAGGUAGUGACAAUAAAUACUGAUACAGGGCUCUUUCGGGUCUUGUAAUUGGAAUGAGUACAAUCUAAAUCCCUUAACGAGGAACAAUUGGAGGGCAAGUCUGGUGCCAGCAGCCGCGGUAAUUCCAGCUCCAAUAGCGUAUAUUAAAGUUGUUGCAGUUAAAAAGCUCGUAGUUGAACCUUGGGCCUGGCUGAUCUGUCUUCCUAACCGUUGCACGGAUUCGGUCGGGCCUUUCCUUCUGGGGAAUCCCAUGCCCUUCACUGGGCGUGGUGGGGAACCAGGACUUUUACCUUGAAAAAAUUAGAGUGUUCAAAGCAGGCCUAUGCUCGGAUACAUUAGCAUGGAAUAAUGGAAUAGGACAGCAGUUCUAUUUUGUUGGUUUCUAGGACCGCUGUAAUGAUUAAUAGGGAUAGUCGGGGGCGUCAGUAUUCAAUUGUCAGAGGUGAAAUUCUUGGAUUUAUUGAAGACUAACUAUUGCGAAAGCAUUCGCCAAGGAUGUUUUCAUUAAUCAGUGAACGAAAGUUAGGGGAUCGAAGACGAUCAGAUACCGUCGUAGUCUUAACCAUAAACUAUGCCGACUAGGGAUCGGACGGUGUUUCUUUAUAUGACCCGUUCGGCACCUUACGAGAAAUCAAAGUUUUUGGGCUCUGGGGGGAGUAUGGUCGCAAGGCUGAAACUUAAAGAAAUUGACGGAAGGGCACCACAAGGCGUGGAACCUGCGGCUUAAUUUGACUCAACACGGGGAAACUUACCAGGUCCAGACAUACGAAGGAUUGACAGAUUGAGAGCUCUUUCUUGAUUGUAUGGGUGGUGGUGCAUGGCCGUUCUUAGUUGGUGGAGUGAUUUGUCUGCUUAAUUGCGUUAACGAACGAGACCUUGACCUGCUAAAUAGCCCGUCUGACUUUGGUUGGACGCUGGCUUCUUAGAGGGACUUUUGGCUCAAGCCAAUGGAAGUACGAGGCAAUAACAGGUCUGUGAUGCCCUUAGAUGUUCUGGGAUGCACGCGCGUUACACUGACAGAGCCAGCGAGUACAUCACCUUGGCCGAAAGGUCUGGGUAAUCUUGUUAAACUCUGUCGUGCUGGGGAUAGAGCAUUGCAAUUAUUGCUCUUCAACGAGGAAUGCCUAGUAAGCGCAAGUCAUCAGCUUGCGUUGACUAUGUCCCUGCCCUUUGUACACACCGCCCGUCGCUACUACCGAUUGAAUGGCUCAGUGAGGCCUUGGGACUGGCUCAGAGAGGUCGGCAACGCCCACUCAGAGCCGGAAACU
This 1733-nucleotide ribosomal RNA is filed under the name Normandina pulchella. RNAcentral describes it as "SSU rRNA". It matches the Rfam family "Eukaryotic small subunit ribosomal RNA", at positions 156 to 1755 of the family's 1831-position model. Lineage: Eukaryota; Fungi; Ascomycota; Eurotiomycetes; Verrucariales; Verrucariaceae. The record is from RNAcentral.